Molecule: ribosomal RNA, 1496 nt
Filed under: uncultured bacterium
Lineage: Bacteria
Description: partial 16S ribosomal RNA
Rfam family: Bacterial small subunit ribosomal RNA
Source: RNAcentral
AGAGUUUGAUCCUGGCUCAGAUUGUACGCUGGCGGCAUGCCUUACACAUGCAAGUCGAACGGUAACAGGUUAAGCUGACGAGUGGCGAACGGGUGAGUAAUAUAUCGGAACGUGCCCAGUCGUGGGGGAUAACUGCUCGAAAGAGCAGCUAAUACCGCAUACGACCUGAGGGUGAAAGCGGGGGAUCGCAAGACCUCGCGCGAUUGGAGCGGCCGAUAUCAGAUUAGGUAGUUGGUGGGGUAAAGGCCUACCAAGCCUACGAUCUGUAGCUGGUCUGAGAGGACGACCAGCCACACUGGGACUGAGACACGGCCCAGACUCCUACGGGAGGCAGCAGUGGGGAAUUUUGGACAAUGGACGCAAGUCUGAUCCAGCCAUGCCGCGUGCGGGAAGAAGGCCUUCGGGUUGUAAACCGCUUUUGUCAGGGAAGAAAAGGUUCUGGUUAAUACCUGGGACUCAUGACGGUACCUGAAGAAUAAGCACCGGCUAACUACGUGCCAGCAGCCGCGGUAAUACGUAGGGUGCAAGCGUUAAUCGGAAUUACUGGGCGUAAAGCGUGCGCAGGCGGUUAUGCAAGACAGAGGUGAAAUCCCCGGGCUCAACCUGGGAACUGCCUUUGUGACUGCAUAGCUAGAGUACGGUAGAGGGGGAUGGAAUUCCGCGUGUAGCAGUGAAAUGCGUAGAUAUGCGGAGGAACACCGAUGGCGAAGGCAAUCCCCUGGACCUGUACUGACGCUCAUGCACGAAAGCGUGGGUAGCAAACAGGAUUAGAUACCCUGGUAGUCCACGCCCUAAACGAUGUCAACUAGGUGUUGGGUGGGUAAAACCAUUUAGUACCGUAGCUAACGCGUGAAGUUGACCGCCUGGGGAGUACGGCCGCAAGGUUAAAACUCAAAGGAAUUGACGGGGACCCGCACAAGCGGUGGAUGAUGUGGAUUAAUUCGAUGCAACGCGAAAAACCUUACCUACCCUUGACAUGUCCGGAAGGCCGAAGAGAUUUGGUUGUGCCCGAAAGGGAACCGGAACACAGGUGCUGCAUGGCUGUCGUCAGCUCGUGUCGUGAGAUGUUGGGUUAAGUCCCGCAACGAGCGCAACCCUUGUCGUUAAUUGCCAUCAUUUGGUUGGGCACUUUAACGAGACUGCCGGUGACAAACCGGAGGAAGGUGGGGAUGACGUCAAGUCCUCAUGGCCCUUAUGGGUAGGGCUUCACACGUCAUACAAUGGCAGGUACAGAGGGAAGCCAACGCGCGAGCGGGAGCCAAUCCCAGAAAGCUUGUCGUAGUCCGGAUCGGAGUCUGCAACUCGACUCUGUGAAGUUGGAAUCGCUAGUAAUCGCAGAUCAGCAUUGCUGCGGUGAAUACGUUCCCGGGUCUUGUACACACCGCCCGUCACACCAUGGGAGUUUACUGCACCAGAAGCAGGUAGCCUAACCGCAAGGAUGGCGCCUACCACGGUGUGGUCGAUGACUGGGGUGAAGUCGUAACAAGGUAACCGUA